Molecule: long non-coding RNA, 1230 nt
Filed under: Lathyrus oleraceus (garden pea)
Lineage: Eukaryota; Viridiplantae; Streptophyta; Magnoliopsida; Fabales; Fabaceae
Description: Pisum sativum (pea) long non-coding RNA (PSAT_LNC009129)
Source: RNAcentral
UCAUCUGAAAGAUAAACUUCAUUCUCAAAGAUAAUCAUAUAUUGUAUGCUAGUUGUAGUCAUAUAUAAAAAUAAAUUAUGGUGUGAAAAAAUGACUAAGUAAAAAAAAUAAAAAAUAAAAGAAACGAGAAAUACUUUCUUCAUUUAAAUCAUUUAUUUAUAAUUUUAUUUAAAAAUCGUAGAAAGGGUGAUGAAUGCAAGGAUGAAUGAGAUCUUUGAAAAUAAUAGUUAUAAGUGUUAGUUUUUCAUGAUCCAAAUUAAGAGCAUUAAUUUUAAGAGCAUUAAUUUUAGACAGAAAUUCUAUUAUUGUAAAUUUUAAGCAGAAAUUCCAAUAUUUUCUCGACGGCUGCAUCUACAGGCUACAGCAAGAAUGUCCUCUAUAUUUGAAUCAAUUUUACAACAAUCUUAUCGACUUUAUUUUCCAAUUUUAAUUUCGGAAUCAAUUUUAUUUCCAGCUUUUGUUUAUGGGUUCUAUUUUAUUUAUUAGUUUUAAAUUCUGCUUUAAUUUUAAAUUUUAUUUCCAGAUUUUUGGAUAAUAGGACUGAAUCAUUUUCUUUAUUAUUAUAUUAUUCUUUUUUAUAUUAAUUGUGAUUUGUGUUUUGUCAUUUUUAUAAAUCCUAAAUUUCAUCCCUCUAACACUAUAUUAUGAGAAAUAUAUUUUCUUUUAGGAAUAUUUAAAAUAAUAGGUAUAAUUUUUUUUCUCUUUGGUAACCACGAAACUAUCAUGUUUCUGACUCUAUAUGUUUGACAUUUUAUUUUAUUUUAUUUUAUUUCUUUAUUAUAAUUUUAUGCUGAUACAUUAUGUUUGUUUUAGGUAUUUUUUAAGAAGGAGCAUUCGUGCAAUAAAUAGGGACAAAAAUGGAAAAGAACGGAGAAAAAGCACAAGUUAUGCACUCAUGGCAUUCACCGUGUCUUUUUCCAAAGCAUUUGCCAUGAUGUCGCAGUCAUUACGUCACUUCACCAUAAAGAAAACUAAAAUAGAAACUAUCGAAUAUGGAUUUUGAGGCCUGGAAUAUAGCAACAUUUUUUUCCAUGGAUUUUUAGCUCUAUAAAUAAGCAGAUUUAGUUCUUCAUGAUCCAAGUUUAAGAGCAUUAAUUUUAGGCAAAUAUUCUAUUAUUGUAAAAUCAAUAGUUUCUCGUAUUUAAGAACAAGUACAUCUUAUCAUUAGGAAUUUUCUGUGUACUUGGAUCAAUUUUACAAUCUAACUUUAUUUUGUAAUUUUAAUUUCGG